This 464-nucleotide ribosomal RNA is filed under the name uncultured bacterium. RNAcentral describes it as "partial 16S ribosomal RNA". It matches the Rfam family "Bacterial small subunit ribosomal RNA", at positions 28 to 506 of the family's 1533-position model. The record is from RNAcentral.
GACGAACGCUGGCGGCGUGCUUAAUACAUGCAAGUCGUACGGUAAGGCCCUUUCGGGGGUACACGAGUGGUGAACGGGUGAGUAACACGUGAGUAACCUGCCCACAACUUUGGGAUAACGCUAGGAAACUGGUGCUAAUACUGGAUAUGUGCUCCUUCUGCAUGGUGGGGGUUGGAAAGCUCCGGCGGUUGUGGCUGGCCUGGCGGCCUAUCUGCUUGUUGGGGGGGUAGUGGCCUACCAUGGCGGCGACGGGUAGCCGGCCUGAGAGGGUGACCGGCCACAUUGGGACUGAGAGACGCCCCAGACUCCUACGGGAGGCAGCAGUGGGGAAUAUUGCACAAUGGGCGCAAGCCUGAUGCAGCAGCGCCGCGUGCGGGAUGACGGCCUUCGGGUUAUAAACCGCUUUCAGCAGAGACGAAGCUUUUUGUGACGGUACCUGCAGAAGAAGCACCGGCUAACUACUU